Macrobrachium nipponense is the source of this 65-nucleotide non-coding RNA. The record is from the annotation of a RefSeq genome assembly. NCBI's taxonomy places the organism in Eukaryota, Metazoa, Arthropoda, Malacostraca, Decapoda, Palaemonidae.
GUUUCAGUAGUUUAAAUAAAAACAAUGGUCUUGUAAACCGUAAAUGAAUUAUUAUUCUUGAAGCU